This 253-nucleotide ribosomal RNA is filed under the name uncultured bacterium. Its description in RNAcentral is "partial 16S ribosomal RNA". It matches the Rfam family "Bacterial small subunit ribosomal RNA", at positions 524 to 776 of the family's 1533-position model. The record is from RNAcentral.
UACAGAGGAGCCAAGCGUUGUCCGGAUUGACUGGGCGUAAAGCGCACGCAGGCGGUUGGGCGCGUGGGGUGUGAAAUCUGGCCGCUUAACGGCCAGGCGCCAUCCCAUACGGCUCGACUGGAGUGAUGCAGAGGUCGGUGGAAUUGCCGGUGUAGUGGUGAAAUGCGCAGAUAUCAGGAGGAACACCGAUGGCGAAGGCAGCUCGCUGGGACGGUACUGACGCUGAGGCGCGAAAGCGUGGGGAUCAAACAGG